Molecule: non-coding RNA, 177 nt
Organism: Solanum tuberosum (potato)
Lineage: Eukaryota; Viridiplantae; Streptophyta; Magnoliopsida; Solanales; Solanaceae
Source: RefSeq, marked provisional
AGGAAACUGUUUAGUCCAACCCAAGGUGGGUUAUUGGAACUGAUCUUUGCUGCUGAAUCAUUGGCUCAUGAGCAUGUCAAAGAAGAUGAAUAACAUCCUGGACAUGUUCUUGCUCCAAUGAUGCAGGAGCUGAGCUCGGUUUUUCACUGCCUUUUCUUGGACUGAAGGGUUCCCUUC